RNAcentral lists this non-coding RNA (144 nucleotides) under uncultured Blautia sp. The record is from RNAcentral. Lineage: Bacteria; Bacillati; Bacillota; Clostridia; Lachnospirales; Lachnospiraceae.
GGGUGACCACGAAUCUGAAGGAAGGUGGAGGCAAAUCUCUGGUCUGACGAACAGAAAUCAUGUGAGGCUACGGUUAAGGAUAAGAUUGCAUAACAAAUCAAAGUCCAAUAACUACUCGGAAUUAACUGUAGCAGAGGGCACAGA